Aotus nancymaae (Ma's night monkey) is the source of this 157-nucleotide small nuclear RNA. Its record names the gene U1. It matches the Rfam family "U1 spliceosomal RNA". From Rfam's summary of the family: U1 is a small nuclear RNA (snRNA) component of the spliceosome (involved in pre-mRNA splicing). Its 5' end forms complementary base pairs with the 5' splice junction, thus defining the 5' donor site of an intron. The record is from Ensembl. Lineage: Eukaryota; Metazoa; Chordata; Mammalia; Primates; Aotidae.
AUACUUACCUGGCAGGGGAGAUACCACGACAACAAGGUAUCUCCUGAGGGUGAGGCUUACACAUUGCACUCUGCGUGUGCUGACCCCUGCAAUUUCCCCAAAUGUGGGAAACCUGACUGCAUAAUUUAUGGUAAUAGGGGACUGCACUGGUGCUUAA